AACCUAUAACGUGUCCUUGCAUGUGUGUAGUUUAAUCUUGUGCCAACCUAGACUUGGAGUUUCUCGUGCAUCAUUUAGAAGGAUGGUGUAUGAAUAUAUUAUUGGUACACGUUCAUUCAACACCAGUAAUAAUAGGAAGACACUUUGGUGUGUUGUUAGUCGAGACAAAUCCACUCCCUCCCGGGCGUUUCGUGAUUCAUUUCCAAUAUUGGCUAAGGUGAGCUUGCCGAGUAGUUGGAUAUCUGGACGGUUUGGUGUCUUUGGGAUGAUCGUAUUUUAUUUCGGUAUUAACUAAUGACUUAUACGAAUUUUACAUUCGAUUUAUUUGAUAUAUUUUUAUACUUCAAUUCAAAAAUGUAUUCUUUUUGAAAUUCUUUUAUUAAAUGUUAUGUUAUUUUGUUCGAUUUUGAAUAAUUCGGUUUAAUUCGAUAUUUUACCGUAAGUAACACGCCGUUCUCUUUAUAGGAGGUGUUCUCUUUAUAGGAGGUGACGAGUGUUACAGUAAGGUGUGUUUAACCCAAACAGUAGAUGAUUAAGCAAUGCCUGCUCACUUCUCUGCUGGCAGCUGAGAGAAGCAAUUAUUAUAUUUUGUAAGAAAAAAUUUAAUGAGGCAGAUAUUCAAGUAACAUGAUUAGUUGUCAAAGACGACAAUCAAUUAAGGCCGGUCACGAGUUUCUCGUUGUGCAAAGGGCUGAGAGAAACGGAACUAAAUAUUUAGAUCCGUGGGGACUCUGUUAUAUACUCUCGAGAUUUGUUUUUUGCCAACAACUUAUUACUUCUAUUGUUAGGUACACAAUCACGUUGAUCAUUAUUGGAUACAAUUAGAGACGCCAUGACCAUACCCUCCAUAACCUUUUACUAAUUAAAGCUAUGACUAUUUUUUUAUUAUCUACUAUACUACUUCCUCUAUAACACUCGGUCACCAUAAAUUAGAGCAAAGCAAAAAAAGAAAGAAAGAUGAGGAUAGUGUUACGUUUCCCCAAAAUAAGGGGUACAAAAUAGUAUAUAUAUAUUUAGACGGGAAGAUGGGGUCAAAGAACACGUGGAGAAUGUAGAUGAAUAACGAAGACUAAAUCAUACUCCCUUCCAAUAUGAAUGUAAAAUGUUUUAUAUUUUUAUUUUGUAUACAAAUAUAUGAUGUUUUGAGAUAUAAUUAAUAUAUUUAUUUUUAAAAUUUAAACAUAAAUUAAAAAGUAAAAUUAUGAAUGAUGAAACUUUAUUGAUAUAAUCAAAAAGUAAUAUUUAAAAUAGUGUAUUUAUUAUUUUUUAAUAUGUAUGUAAAACUUUAAAUAUUUUAUAUUUAAAUUCAGAGGAAGUAAGUACGAAACAGACAUAGGUGUAAUGGUCAUACCUUGCAACUAACAACAGCUUUUGUUAUAAAUUUCUUUCUAUCUGCUACUUAAAAAAGGAGUUCAUUAUAUUUUUAUUUGUUUCAAAGUAUAUUGUAAUCGUCCACUUUAUACUAUAGAAACAAUCUUUUUGUUAUGUCUAUUCUUUUCCAAUAAAAUUACUUAUAAAAACCAAAAAGUAACAAAAGGAUCCACCAUUAGAUUAGAGAUCGGAUCUGCAAUAACUACAUGGUGGAUACAAGUUUCAAUUCAAGGGAAAAGAAAAUUUAUGGAUUACCACACAAAAAGCUGAUAAUUAAUUAUUUUUAAUAUAAAUCCGAUCUGCAUGCAUGUCGGUUGUAACAAACGCUAACAUAUUAAGCAAACAAACAAAACUUGGACUAUAGAUCACAGUUAUUAUACAGAGAGUAGCUCUUAAUUAACUACGAUUCUAAUUCAGUAAAAACAUCAGACCAUUUUAGCAAAAAAAAAAAAACAUCAGACCAUGCAAAUA
Brassica napus (rape) is the source of this 1842-nucleotide long non-coding RNA. RefSeq lists it as uncharacterized. NCBI's taxonomy places the organism in Eukaryota, Viridiplantae, Streptophyta, Magnoliopsida, Brassicales, Brassicaceae. The transcript is spliced from 2 exons. The record is from RefSeq and is a predicted model, not a curated record.